RNAcentral lists this ribosomal RNA (556 nucleotides) under uncultured Dehalococcoides sp. RNAcentral describes it as "bacterial SSU rRNA". It matches the Rfam family "Bacterial small subunit ribosomal RNA", at positions 358 to 935 of the family's 1533-position model. Lineage: Bacteria; Bacillati; Chloroflexota; Dehalococcoidia; Dehalococcoidales; Dehalococcoidaceae. The record is from RNAcentral.
GGGAUUUCGCAAGGGCGAAACCUGACCCACCAUGCCGCGUGAGGGAUGAAGCUCUCGGGUUGUAAACCUCUUUUUUCCGGGGAAGAAAACAAUGGUAGUACCUGAAGAAUCGACCGCUGCUGUACUUCUUGAGCAGCCGCCGAGUUAAUACCGAGGACGGCAGUGUUAUGGGGGAUUAUUGGGUUUUAAGGAUUCAUUGGUGGUACUUGGAGUGUGCGGGGAUAGACCGGUCCUUAACCCUGGGAAGGCCGUGAAAACUUAGCUGGUACAUGGAAACAGGGGGGGAAGGAAUUCCCGGAGGACCGAAGAACUGCUUCUAUCUCGGGAAAAACAUUGGUGGCCAAAGCGAUCUACUGUAGUGCAAAUGACCCUGUAGGACAAAAGCGAGGGUAACGAAUGGGAUUAUAUCCCCCAAUCCUCCUUACCUACCAUGAUGGAUACCACUUGUGGCUUGUAUCCAAUCCCUGUCGUGGCAUAAUUAACACCUUUUUUAUCCCGGCUGUGGAGUCCCCACCCGGGUAUUAAACUCAAGAAUGAAGGGGCAAAGGAAUGGCGG